CAACACUGAAUUAAGAGUGAAGGAAAACACUGUCGAUAAAAUGCCAGAUAGACUGUAGAUGUUCAAGGUUGAUGGACCAGAGCCUCUUGCAUCCAUACCUGUGACAGAUGAAAAAGGAGCUGCAUUCAGUCAGAAGCCUCCAGCAAGAGCAAUAUCAGCUUCUCUUCUGGUCUUAGAUCCAGUGCACACUCCUGGCAGAGUUCUACAAACUUGACAAGCAGAGAAACCUGAGAAUGUUGUGGGAGACAAGGUACGCAAUUUGGAACUGUAUGCUGGAUUCCUCUUGUUUGGCCACUUCCUGUGAAACCAGACACCAACUUUGACUUCAUAUGGUGAAAAUGGCAAGAUGCUUUCAUUCCUGAAGACAUAUCUGGGCGUGUCAGGAGAGGUGACUACA
Lagopus muta (rock ptarmigan) is the source of this 397-nucleotide long non-coding RNA. RefSeq lists it as uncharacterized. The record is from RefSeq and is a predicted model, not a curated record. NCBI's taxonomy places the organism in Eukaryota, Metazoa, Chordata, Aves, Galliformes, Phasianidae. The transcript is spliced from 4 exons.